This 21-nucleotide non-coding RNA is filed under the name Rattus norvegicus (Norway rat). The record is from RNAcentral. Lineage: Eukaryota; Metazoa; Chordata; Mammalia; Rodentia; Muridae.
CUGAUGGAGGCUGAUGCUCAA